Molecule: microRNA precursor, 98 nt
Filed under: Mus caroli (Ryukyu mouse)
Lineage: Eukaryota; Metazoa; Chordata; Mammalia; Rodentia; Muridae
Description: miRNA (MGP_CAROLIEiJ_G0008126.1)
Source: RNAcentral
CCCAGGGAGGGCUAGAAUAUCUGAGUAAUCAGGUCUGGAACUGACCAUAGCAUUUGCAUUUUUACAAGUUCCCAGGUGAUUCUGAUGCUGCUCGUUCA